GUUUUGAGAAGCUCAUCAGCAUUGGUCUUGUAAACCAAAGACAGGGUCACACCCCCAGAACU
This 62-nucleotide transfer RNA is filed under the name Lens contradens. Its description in RNAcentral is "tRNA-Thr". Lineage: Eukaryota; Metazoa; Mollusca; Bivalvia; Unionida; Unionidae. The record is from RNAcentral.